Molecule: long non-coding RNA, 1020 nt
Filed under: Anser cygnoides (Swan goose)
Lineage: Eukaryota; Metazoa; Chordata; Aves; Anseriformes; Anatidae
Description: lncRNA (ENSACDG00005003257.1)
Source: RNAcentral
AUGGUGGGCACUCAUCACAGCAGCCAGUCCGAAGCGGCAACCCAAACAGAGGAGAUGCUGCCUCUCUGGACUCAUGUGGGCACUCAGGUGGAUCCCCUGAGGGGUGAAGUGGCAGUCCAGACAGGUGACUGCGGGGAGCUCUGGAAUCUGGAGACCCACCUGGGUCCUGAGGGGAGAGAGAGCUGUCAUGGGUGCAGGUGUGCCCUCCUUAAGGAACUCCUUAAGCAGGUGGCUGGGCUGCAGCAAGAAAUUGGCAGCCUGAGGGGCUCCUGGAAGUCUUUGAGGGUGACAGAUAGGAGGUGUCAACCUGCCCCUGCUGAUGCCCAGCAGCCCCCUCCUAAGUCCCAGCAAGGGGUAGAAGCUGACACAGCUGAUCACAUGCAGUACAGAUGGCUUGACCACCCACAUGAGAAAAGGGGCUGGACCCUCGUCUCAGCUCGAAGCAGAAAGAGACGUUUGUCCCCGACACCCACGGUGUCACCAACCCCCACAGUGUCCCUGGGUAAUAGAUUUGAGGUUCUCAGGCAGGAAAAGGAAGAGGUUGAGGGUCUGGACAGUAGUCCGAACCCGGGAAGCAACCCUGAGAAGCGUGUCAAGACUGGGGGCAGUACUAAGCAUAGGGAUCGUGGCCAGACGGGGCACUGCAUCACAACCAGUGCCACAAAAAAAGAACGGAGAGUCUUAGUGAUCGGAGACUCCUUGCUGAGGGGCACUGAGGCUCCCAUUUGUCGCCCAGAUAAUCUAUCCAGAGAGGUGUGCUGUCUUCCUAGGGCACUUGUCAGAGACGUUAGGAAGGCUCUGCCACAGCUCAUUAAACUGGAGGACUACUAUCCUCUUGUUGUCAUUCAGGUUGGAUCCCGGGAAGCUGCAACUAGAAAAAUGAUGAAUAUUAAAAAGGACUUUGCAUCCCUAGGAAGGUUGUUGAAGGGAUCGGGGGUGCAAGUAGUGUUCUCUUCUGUCCUCCCGCCGGGUGACUGGGACCCAGAAAGAAGGACGAGAAUGGGACAGGUGAACGACUAG